RNAcentral lists this ribosomal RNA (270 nucleotides) under uncultured bacterium. Its description in RNAcentral is "partial 16S ribosomal RNA". It matches the Rfam family "Bacterial small subunit ribosomal RNA", at positions 84 to 353 of the family's 1533-position model. The record is from RNAcentral.
UUUGAUGGCGACCGGCGCACGGGUGAGUAACACGUAUCCAACCUGCCGAUGACUCGGGGAUAGCCUUUCGAAAGAAAGAUUAANACCCGAUGGCAUAGUUCUUCCGCAUGGUGGAACUAUUAAAGAAUUUCGGUCAUCGAUGGGGAUGCGUUCCAUUAGGUUGUUGGCGGGGUAACGGCCCACCAAGCCUUCGAUGGAUAGGGGUUCUGAGAGGAAGGUCCCCCACAUUGGAACUGAGACACGGUCCAAACUCCUACGGGAGGCAGCAUG